GAUGAACGCUGGCGGUAUGCUUAACACAUGCAAGUCGAACGGACUCUUCGGAGUUAGUGGCGGACGGGUGAGUAACGCGUGAGAAUCUGGCUUUGGGUUCGGGACAACCACUGGAAACGGUGGCUAAUACCGGAUGUGCCGAGAGGUAAAAGAGAAAUUGCCUGAAGAUGAGCUCGCGACUGAUUAGCUAGUUGGUGAGGUAAAGGCUCACCAAGGCAGCGAUCAGUAGCUGGUCUGAGAGGAUGACCAGCCACACUGGGACUGAGACACGGCCCAGACUCCUACGGGAGGCAGCAGUGGGGAAUUUUCCGCAAUGGGCGAAAGCCUGACGGAGCAAUACCGCGUGAGGGAAGAAGGCUCUUGGGUUGUAAACCUCUUUUCUUAGGGAAGAACAAAAUGACGGUACCUAAGGAAUCAGCAUCGGCUAACUCCGUG
Molecule: ribosomal RNA, 435 nt
Filed under: uncultured bacterium
Lineage: Bacteria
Description: partial 16S ribosomal RNA
Rfam family: Bacterial small subunit ribosomal RNA
Source: RNAcentral